GAUGAACGCUAGCGGCAGGCUUAAUACAUGCAAGGCGAGGGGGCAGCAAUGUCACCGUCGUACGGGUGCGUAACGCGUAUGCAACCUACCUAUCACUGGGGGAUAGCCCGGGGAAACCCGGAUUAAUACCGCAUGACACAUUUGUGUAGCAUUACAUGAUUUGUUAAAGAUUUAUUGGUGAUAGAUGGGCAUGCGUUCGAUUAGCUAGUUGGCAGGGUAACGGCCUACCAAGGCAACGAUCGAUAGGGGAGCUGAGAGGUUGAUCCCCCACACGGGCACUGAGGUACGGGCCCGACUCCUACGGGAGGCAGCAGUAGGGAAUAUUGGGCAAUGGAUGCAAGUCUGACCCAGCCAUGCCGCGUGCCGGAUGAAGGCCCUCAGGGUUGUAAACGGCUUUUAUUCGGGAAGAAGAGCAGGGAUGCGUCCCUGUGUGACGGU
Molecule: ribosomal RNA, 438 nt
Filed under: uncultured bacterium
Lineage: Bacteria
Description: bacterial SSU rRNA
Rfam family: Bacterial small subunit ribosomal RNA
Source: RNAcentral